AACGAACGCUGGCGGCAGGCCUAACACAUGCAAGUCGAACGCCGUAGCAAUACGGAGUGGCAGACGGGUGAGUAACACGUGGGAACGUACCCUUCGGUUCGGGAUAACUCAGGGAAACUUGAGCUAAUACCGGAUACGUCCGAGAGGAGAAAGAUUUAUCGCCGAGGGAUCGGCCCGCGUCUGAUUAGCUUGUUGGUGAGGUAACGGCUCACCAAGGCGACGAUCAGUAGCUGGUCGAGAGGAUGAUCAGCCACAUUGGGACUGAGACACGGCCCAAACUCCUACGGGAGGCAGCAGUGGGGAAUAUUGGACAAUGGGCGCAAGCCUGAUCCAGCCAUGCCGCGUGAGUGAUGAAGGCCCUAGGGUUGUAAAGCUCUUUACCCGGGAAGAUAAUGACUGUACCGGGAGAAUAAGCCCCGCUAACUUCGUGCCAGCAGCCGCAGUAAU
Molecule: ribosomal RNA, 447 nt
Filed under: uncultured bacterium
Lineage: Bacteria
Description: bacterial SSU rRNA
Rfam family: Bacterial small subunit ribosomal RNA
Source: RNAcentral